RNAcentral lists this ribosomal RNA (736 nucleotides) under Bacillus pumilus. Its description in RNAcentral is "bacterial SSU rRNA". It matches the Rfam family "Bacterial small subunit ribosomal RNA", at positions 54 to 774 of the family's 1533-position model. Lineage: Bacteria; Bacillati; Bacillota; Bacilli; Caryophanales; Bacillaceae. The record is from RNAcentral.
CAUGCAUGUCGUAGCGAGACAGAAGGGAGCUUGCUCCCGGAUGUUAGCGGCGGACGGGUGAGUAACACGUGGGUAACCUGCCUGUAAGACUGGGAUAACUCCGGGAAACCGGAGCUAAUACCGGAUAGUUCCUUGAACCGCAUGGUUCAAGGAUGAAAGACGGUUUCGGCUGUCACUUACAGAUGGACCCGCGGCGCAUUAGCUAGUUGGUGAGGUAACGGCUCACCAAGGCGACGAUGCGUAGCCGACCUGAGAGGGUGAUCGGCCACACUGGGACUGAGACACGGCCCAGACUCCUACGGGAGGCAGCAGUAGGGAAUCUUCCGCAAUGGACGAAAGUCUGACGGAGCAACGCCGCGUGAGUGAUGAAGGUUUUCGGAUCGUAAAGCUCUGUUGUUAGGGAAGAACAAGUGCAAGAGUAACUGCUUGCACCUUGACGGUACCUAACCAGAAAGCCACGGCUAACUACGUGCCAGCAGCCGCGGUAAUACGUAGGUGGCAAGCGUUGUCCGGAAUUAUUGGGCGUAAAGGGCUCGCAGGCGGUUUCUUAAGUCUGAUGUGAAAGCCCCCGGCUCAACCGGGGAGGGUCAUUGGAAACUGGGAAACUUGAGUGCAGAAGAGGAGAGUGGAAUUCCACGUGUAGCGGUGAAAUGCGUAGAGAUGUGGAGGAACACCAGUGGCGAAGGCGACUCUCUGGUCUGUAACUGACGCUGAGGAGCGCUAUUUAGUCCUACCC